This 1519-nucleotide long non-coding RNA is filed under the name Homo sapiens (human). RNAcentral describes it as "HSALNT0370294". Lineage: Eukaryota; Metazoa; Chordata; Mammalia; Primates; Hominidae. The record is from RNAcentral.
UUCCAACACUGACUCCCACAACUCAUACUGCACCUACUACUAAAUCCACUACUUUGAAUUUGGAUGGGUGCUGGCAGGAGGGACUGAGGGGGAUCGGAGCGCUAAAAGGGGGCAUAAGGGAGAGGGAAGCUGAGACAGUCAGUACUUGCAGAACAGGUGCUUCUCUUUUAGAUGUGGAAAUUCAAGCCACUGAAAAAAAAUUUAGAAGAGACCUGUGGAACAGUGGACUUCUGGGCUGACCCAAGCACAGACUGUACACAUCAGACAAUUUGGAAAGCACCUGGCAGUCACUGUGGAGAAGGAUCUCUGAUUAGCUUGCUGCCGGUCCACUGAUGAUGCUCACCUGCAGGACUCAGCCCACCCAAUUUCUACCUGGAUCUUGUACUGGGGUGUGGGUGCCCCCCGCAGGAUUGCUUCCCCCAGGGGUCUGUGCUGAGGUACAAGAUCACCAGACUUACCUAGGGCAAAUGAAAGAAGUACAGCCAGGCAGGAUCUGAACUGUAUUGACCAGGGAAGUGAAAGUCAAAACUGUAGAGGUGGUUCCAAGCAUCAAGUUUGGUGAAGGAUGAGGUGAGAUGUCAACAGCAAGAUGCAUCAGCAGAGCAGAAGGAAGAAGGAAGCAGAACCCAAGGCAGCUUGAGGCAAGUUGACCAGAAGAGAGGAUAUGAAAUGGAUGGACGUGUCAGAGGUCCAUUUCUACUUGACGGAGACAAAUCCUCAAGGAGACAUUGUAAUUUCCUUUGAAAUAUUGGAAAGCAGCAAUCAUGUGGACUGUAGAGUAAGACGGGCCAGGAUGGAAUCCCAGUCAGGCUUCUCUGUGACCUAGAGCUCCUGCAGCCCAUUAACCUUCCUUUAAUUUUCUUUAACACUGGGAUAACAACCAGAAAGCCAUAGAGCUAUUGAGAGGAGCUAACACAGGUAAUCUGGCUCUAGGAAGACUCAAGGAUUACUUGUGGAAUUUAAACAAAGUGAACCAGAUCUUAAUCCCAGUGUAUUUUAAUUCCAAGUUUGGUUUGUUUCUCCCUGAUGAGUUACCACCAACCCCAAUGAGAUUGACAGAAAAUGCUCUUUGGUUACUUAUUCUUCCAAAUAUCCUUUCCUUCUCUUUAAAAAAUAUAAUAACACAUCUGGGAUAUAUUAUAUGGUGGUAUAUAUUUCAGUCUAUGUUUCUGCUAAUGCCUUAGUAAAUAGAAAACGCAUGAAUGUUGACUGCUCAAAUACAGUAGCCGCUAGUCAGCCUCAAGUGAGGCUGAAUAUGAAGUUAAACAUUGCAAGAGUAAAAAUAAGUGGGUCUAUCAAAAGUGGAACACUAUCCCCAGUAGUAUCUGAAUCACUUUUUAUAAUUAAGAUAAUGCUCUUAACCUCCUCCUACUGCUUAGAAUAAAGAAAGUUAUAAAAGUCUAUGAUGUUCUUAUUUAUAUCAAAGGAGAGUGUAUCAGUUAGCAACACUUCUGGAUGUUAAUAUCAGUACAUUUAACUGACAGUGGAUUAAACCAACAGAAGAGUAUUUUGUUAUUGU